AUGUUCAAGCUGGAGGAUGUGUCGAUGGGAAUAUGGAUCAAUGAGAUGAAGAAGGAAGGCUUUUAUGUCAAGUAUGAGAAUGAUUGGUGGGAAUCUAGUUGCGCACUACCAGGAGCCAAUGUAGAUCAUGUGCCUCUAGAUCAAAUUCCAGAAAACAAAGCGACAUAUUUUUGCUCUCAAACAGUGAACCAUAAUGUUUGCUCUAGUUUAUUAGUUAAAUUAGUGUAUGGGAAAUUUUGA
Molecule: ribosomal RNA, 240 nt
Filed under: Triticum aestivum (bread wheat)
Lineage: Eukaryota; Viridiplantae; Streptophyta; Magnoliopsida; Poales; Poaceae
Description: partial small subunit ribosomal RNA
Source: RNAcentral